CAGUCGAGCGGUAACAGAGAGUAGCUUGCUACUUUGCUGACGAGCGGCGGACGGGUGAGUAAUGCUUGGGGAUCUGCCCGGUCGAGGGGGAUAACCGUUGGAAACGACGGCUAAUACCGCAUACGCCCUACGGGGGAAAGCAGGGGACCUUCGGGCCUUGCGCGAUUGGAUGAACCCAAGUGAGAUUAGCUUGUUGGUGAGGUAACGGCUCACCAAGGCGACGAUCUCUAGCUGGUCUGAGAGGAUGACCAGUCACACUGGGACUGAGACACGGCCCAGACUCCUACGGGAGGCAGCAGUGGGGAAUAUUGCACAAUGGGGGAAACCCUGAUGCAGCCAUGCCGCGUGUGUGAAGAAGGCCUUCGGGUUGUAAAGCACUUUCAGUGGUGAGGAAAGGAGGUUGGCUAAUACCUGACCUCUGUGACGUUAACCACAGAAGAAGCACCGGCUAACUCCGUGCCAGCCGC
This 467-nucleotide ribosomal RNA is filed under the name bacterium 2311-S4-10-2.3. RNAcentral's name for it is "bacterial SSU rRNA". It matches the Rfam family "Bacterial small subunit ribosomal RNA", at positions 59 to 515 of the family's 1533-position model. The record is from RNAcentral.